RNAcentral lists this ribosomal RNA (254 nucleotides) under uncultured bacterium. RNAcentral describes it as "partial 16S ribosomal RNA". It matches the Rfam family "Bacterial small subunit ribosomal RNA", at positions 524 to 776 of the family's 1533-position model. The record is from RNAcentral.
UACAGAGGUCUCGAGCGUUGUUCGGAUUUACUGGGCGUAAAGGGCGCGUAGGCGGCAAUUCAAGUCAUCUGUGAAAUCUCCGGGCUUAACCCGGAACGGUCAGAUGAUACUGCUUUGCUAGAGUGCGGAAGGGGCAAUCGGAAUUCUUGGUGUAGCGGUGAAAUGCGUAGAUAUCAAGAGGAACACCUGAGGUGAAGACGGGUUGCUGGGCCGACACUGACGCUGAUAGCGCGAAAGCCAGGGGAGCAAACGGG